UACGUAGGUGGCAAGCGUUGUCCGGAUUUACUGGGCGUAAAGAGCGCGCAGGCGGUCGUUCAAGUCGCGUGUGAAAGCCCCCGGCUCAACUGGGGAGGGUCACGCGAUACUGUUCGACUCGAAGGCAGGAGAGGGUAGUGGAAUUCCCGGUGUAGUGGUGAAAUGCGUAGAUAUCGGGAGGAACACCGGUGGCGAGGGCGACUACCUGGCCUGUUUCUUGACGCUGAGGCGCGAAAGCUAGGGGAGCAAACGGG
Molecule: ribosomal RNA, 254 nt
Filed under: uncultured bacterium
Lineage: Bacteria
Description: partial 16S ribosomal RNA
Rfam family: Bacterial small subunit ribosomal RNA
Source: RNAcentral